This 398-nucleotide ribosomal RNA is filed under the name uncultured bacterium. RNAcentral describes it as "partial 16S ribosomal RNA". It matches the Rfam family "Bacterial small subunit ribosomal RNA", at positions 523 to 918 of the family's 1533-position model. The record is from RNAcentral.
AUACGUAGGGUGCGAGCGUUGUCCGGAAUUACUGGGCGUAAAGAGCUCGUAGGUGGUUUGUCGCGUCGUCUGUGAAAUUCCGGGGCUUAACUCCGGGCGUGCAGGCGAUACGGGCAUAACUUGAGUACUGUAGGGGAGACUGGAAUUCCUGGUGUAGCGGUGAAAUGCGCAGAUAUCAGGAGGAACACCGGUGGCGAAGGCGGGGCUCUGGGCAGUAACUGACGCUGAGGAGCGAAAGCAUGGGUAGCGAACAGGAUUAGAUACCCUGGUAGUCCAUGCCGUAAACGGUGGGCGCUAGGUGUAGGGGUCUUCCACGACUUCUGUGCCGUAGCUAACGCAUUAAGCGCCCCGCCUGGGGAGUACGGCCGCAAGGCUAAAACUCAAAUGAAUUGACGGGG